This 553-nucleotide ribosomal RNA is filed under the name Trigonopterus suturatus. Its description in RNAcentral is "partial 16S ribosomal RNA". Lineage: Eukaryota; Metazoa; Arthropoda; Insecta; Coleoptera; Curculionidae. The record is from RNAcentral.
ACCUGGCUCACACCGGUCUAAACUCAGAUCAUGUAAAAUUUUAAAGGUCGAACAGACCUAACCCACUAGCUUCUGCACCAGCCGUAAAUUUUAAUCCAACAUCGAGGUCGCAAACUAUUUUUUCGAUAAGAACUCUAAAAAAAAUAACGCUGUUAUCCCUAAGGUAAUUUAAUCUUAUAAUCUUAAAUAAAGGAUCAUAUACUUAUAAAUAAAUAUACUAAUGAAAGAAAAGUUUAUUAAAUUUUCCUGUCGCCCCAACAAAAUAAGUAUUUAUAUAAUUAGAUGUAUUUACCCUUCAUAACCAAAUUAUUUAUAUACAUAUAAAACUCUAUAGGGUCUUCUCGUCUUCUAUAAAAAUUUAAGCUUUUUUACUUAAAAAUAAAAUUUUAAUUAUUUCUCAAAGAGACAGCCAUUUUUUCAUCAAACCUUUCAUACCAGCUUUCAAUUAAAAAACUAAUGAUUAUGCUACCUUUGCACGGUCAAAGUACCGCGGCCAUUUAACUCCUCAGUGGGCAGGUUAGACUUGAAAUUAUUAUCAACAAGCCAUGUUUUU